AACGAACGCUGGCGGCAGGCUUAACACAUGCAAGUCGAACGCACCGCAAGGUGAGUGGCAGACGGGUGAGUAACGCGUGGGAAUCUACCUAGUUCUACGGAACAACGGAGGGAAACUUCUGCUAAUACCGUAUACGCCCUACGGGGAAAGAUUUAUCGGAAUUAGAUGAGCCCGCGUAAGAUUAGCUAGUUGGUGGGGUA
Molecule: ribosomal RNA, 200 nt
Filed under: uncultured bacterium
Lineage: Bacteria
Description: partial 16S ribosomal RNA
Rfam family: Bacterial small subunit ribosomal RNA
Source: RNAcentral